CGAGGUUCGGGGUCGCCACUGUGAUGUACUUGUUCAGGCUGUCUUGAGCUCAACUAUAGAUGACUGUUGAAUUU
Non-coding RNA from Biomphalaria pfeifferi, 74 nucleotides. NCBI's taxonomy places the organism in Eukaryota, Metazoa, Mollusca, Gastropoda, Planorbidae. The record is from the annotation of a GenBank genome assembly.